RNAcentral lists this non-coding RNA (30 nucleotides) under Mus musculus (house mouse). The record is from RNAcentral. Lineage: Eukaryota; Metazoa; Chordata; Mammalia; Rodentia; Muridae.
UAGUGUAAACUUAGCUUGGUUCCUCCCUUU